GGCAAAGUUAAUAAGGGCGCACGGUGGAUGCCUUGGCAUUAAGAGCCGAAGAAGGACGUGACUAACGACGAUAUUCUAGGGGGAGCAGUAAGUACGCAUUGAUCCCUAGGUCUCCGAAUGGGGAAACCCACUAUGUUAUGCAUAGUAUCCGUAAGUGAAUACAUAGCUUACGCGAAGGUAACGCAGAGAACUGAAACAUCUAAGUACCUGCAGGAAGAGAAAGUAAAAACGAUUUCCUAAGUAGCGGCGAGCGAACGGGAAACAGGCCAAACCAAGAAGCUUGCUUCUUGGGGUUGUAGGACUGCAACGUGGACUUAAAGUCUAUAGAAGAAUUACCUGGGAAGGUAAGCCAAAGAGAGUAAUAGCCUCGUAUUUGAAAUAGACUUUAUACCUAGCAGUAUCCUGAGUAGGGCUGGACACGCGAAAUCCAGUUUGAAUCCGGGAGGACCAUCUCCCAAGCCUAAAUACUCCUUAAUGACCGAUAGUGAACCAGUACCGUGAGGGAAAGGUGAAAAGAACCCCGGGAGGGGAGUGAAAUAGCACCUGAAACCGUGUGCCUACAAGAAGUUCGAGCCCGUCAAUGGGUGAGAGCGUGCCUUUUGUAGAAUGAACCGGCGAGUUACGUUAUGAUGCGAGGUUAAGCUGAAGAGGCGGAGCCGUAGCGAAAGCGAGUCUGAAUAGGGCGCUUUAGUAUCAUGAUGUAGACCCGAAACCUAGUGACCUAUCCAUGAGCAGGUUGAAGGUGCGGUAAGACGCACUGGAGGACCGAACCAGGACACGUUGAAAAGUGUUUGGAUGACUUGUGGAUAGCGGAGAAAUUCCAAACGAACUGGGAGAUAGCUGGUUCUCUCCGAAAUAGCUUUAGGGCUAGCGUCGCAAUUUAAGUGUAUUGGAGGUAGAGCACUGUUUGGAUGAGGGGCCCAUCUCGGGUUACCAAUUUCAGAUAAACUCCGAAUGCUAAUACACAUGUGCGGCAGUCAGACUGCGAGUGCUAAGAUCCGUAGUCGAAAGGGAAACAGCCCAGACCACCAGCUAAGGUCCCAAAAUAUAUGUUAAGUGGAAAAGGAUGUGGGGUUGCACAGACAACUAGGAUGUUAGCUCAGAAGCAGCUAUCAUUCAAAGAGUGCGUAAUAGCUCACUAGUCGAGUGACCCUGCGCCGAAAAUGUACCGGGGCUAAACAUAUUACCGAAGCUGUGGAUUUAAUAUUAAUUAAAUGGUAGGAGAGCGUUGUAAUCAGCGAUGAAGGUAUACCGUGAGGGGUGCUGGAGCGAUUACAAGUGAGAAUGCCGGUAUGAGUAGCGCAAGAUAAGUGAGAAUCUUAUCCACCGUAAGACUAAGGUUUCCAGGGGAAGGCUCGUCCGCCCUGGGUUAGUCGGGACCUAAGGCGAGGCCGAAAGGCGUAGUCGAUGGACAACAGGUUGAUAUUCCUGUACUAGUAUUGUUAGUGAUGGAGGGACGCAGUAGGCUAAAGGGAGCCAGUUAAUGGAUUCUGGUCUAAGCAGUGAGGUGUGGAAUGUGUCAAAUGCAUUUUCCUUUAACAUUGAGCUGUGAUGGGGAAGCAACUACGGUUGCGAAGCCCUUGAUGUCACACUGCCAAGAAAAUCUUCUAGCGUUUAAUUUAAUACUACCCGUACCGCAAACCGACACAGGUAGUCGAGGCGAGUAGCCUCAGGUGAUCGAGAGAACUCUCGUUAAGGAACUCGGCAAAAUGACCCCGUAACUUCGGGAGAAGGGGUGCUGUAGAAAUACAGCCGCAGUGAAAAGAUCCAAGCAACUGUUUAUCAAAAACACAGCUCUCUGCUAAACCGCAAGGUGAUGUAUAGGGGGUGACGCCUGCCCGGUGCUGGAAGGUUAAGAGGAGGGGUUAGACAUUAGUCGAAGCUCUGAAUUGAAGCCCCAGUAAACGGCGGCCGUAACUAUAACGGUCCUAAGGUAGCGAAAUUCCUUGUCGGGUAAGUUCCGACCCGCACGAAAGGCGUAAUGAUUUGGAUACUGUCUCAACGAGAGACUCGGUGAAAUUUUAGUACCUGUGAAGAUGCAGGUUACCCGCGACAGGACGGAAAGACCCCAUGGAGCUUUACUGCAGAUUGAUAUUGAGUACCUGUGAAGCAUGUACAGGAUAGGUAGGAGACUUUGACCUUGGGACGCUAGUUUCAAGUGAGUCGCUGUUGGGAUACUACCCUUGCUUCAUGGUUGCUCUAACCCACACGCAUAAUCGGCGUGGGAGACAGUGUCUGUCGGGCAGUUUGACUGGGGCGGUCGCCUCCUAAAGAGUAACGGAGGCGCCCAAAGGUUCCCUCAACAUGGUUGGAAAUCAUGUGUAGAGUGUAAAGGUAUAAGGGAGCUUGACUGCGAGAGCUACAACUCGAGCAGGUAGGAAACUAGGGCUUAGUGAUCCGGUGGUACCGCAUGGAAGGGCCAUCGCUCAACGGAUAAAAGCUACCCUGGGGAUAACAGGCUUAUCUCCCCCAAGAGUUCACAUCGACGGGGAGGUUUGGCACCUCGAUGUCGGCUCGUCGCAUCCUGGGGCUGUAGUCGGUCCCAAGGGUUGGGCUGUUCGCCCAUUAAAGCGGCACGCGAGCUGGGUUCAGAACGUCGUGAGACAGUUCGGUCCCUAUCCGUCGCGGGCGUAGGAAAUUUGAGAGGAUCUGCCCUUAGUACGAGAGGACCGGGGUGGACUUACCGCUGGUGUACCAGUUGUUCCGCCAGGAGCACCGCUGGGUAGCUAUGUAGGGAAGGGAUAAGCGCUGAAAGCAUCUAAGUGCGAAGCUCACCUCAAGAUGAGAUUUCCCAUUCUUUAUGAAUUAAGAGCCCUGAGAGAUGAUCAGGUUGAUAGGCUGGAAGUGGAAGUCCUGCGAGGGAUGGAGCGGACCAGUACUAAUAGCUCGAGGACUUUACCAA
This 2902-nucleotide ribosomal RNA is filed under the name Lactococcus garvieae. RNAcentral describes it as "23S ribosomal RNA". It matches the Rfam family "Bacterial large subunit ribosomal RNA". RNAcentral also lists the same sequence under 1 other name. The record is from RNAcentral. Lineage: Bacteria; Bacillati; Bacillota; Bacilli; Lactobacillales; Streptococcaceae.